RNAcentral lists this ribosomal RNA (492 nucleotides) under uncultured bacterium. RNAcentral's name for it is "partial 16S ribosomal RNA". It matches the Rfam family "Bacterial small subunit ribosomal RNA", at positions 29 to 507 of the family's 1533-position model. The record is from RNAcentral.
AGUGAACGCUGGCGGUAGGCCUAACACAUGCAAGUCGAACGGCAGCACAGUAAGAGCUUGCUCUUACGGGUGGCGAGUGGCGGACGGGUGAGGAAUACAUCGGAAUCUACUUUUUCGUGGGGGAUAACGUAGGGAAACUUACGCUAAUACCGCAUACGACCUACGGGUGAAAGCAGGGGAUCUUCGGACCUUGCGCGAUUGAAUGAGCCGAUGUCGGAUUAGCUAGUUGGCGGGGUAAAGGCCCACCAAGGCGACGAUCCGUAGCUGGUCUGAGAGGAUGACCGGCCACACUGGAACUGAAACACGGCCCAGACUCCAACGGGAGGAAGCAGUGGGGAAUUUUGAACAAGGGGCGAAGGCCUGACCGAGCCAUCCCGGGGGAGUGAAGAAGGCCUUCGGUUUGUAAAACCUUUUUGUGGGAAAAAAAAAACAGCGGUUAAACCCCCGCCUGUUCUGAGGUUACCAAAUAAAAAAGCCCCGGCUAACUCCGUG